This 506-nucleotide ribosomal RNA is filed under the name uncultured bacterium. Its description in RNAcentral is "bacterial SSU rRNA". It matches the Rfam family "Bacterial small subunit ribosomal RNA", at positions 29 to 524 of the family's 1533-position model. The record is from RNAcentral.
AACGAACGCUGGCGGCGCGCCUAAUACAUGCAAGUCGAGCGAGAAGGUGUAGCAAUACACUUGUAAAGCGGCGAACGGGUGAGGAAUGCAUGGGUAACCUACCCUCGAGUGGGGAAUAACUAGCCGAAAGGUUAGCUAAUACCGCAUACGUUUCCGGAACUUCGGUUUCGGAAAGAAAGCAAUACCGUGGGUAUUGCGCUCCUGGAUGGGCUCAUGUCCUAUCAGCUUGUUGGUGAGGUAACGGCUCACCAAGGCUUCGACGGGUAGCUGGUCUGAGAGGACGAUCAGCCACACUGGCACUGCGACACGGGCCAGACUCCUACGGGAGGCAGCAGUAAGGAAUAUUGCGCAAUGGACGAAAAGUCUGACGCAGCGACGCCGCGUGGGGGAGUGAAGGUCUUCGGAUUGUAAACCCCUUUCGGGAGGGAAGGAUGGAGUGGGUAACCACUUGGACGGUACCUCCACGAAGCAGCCACGGCUAACUUCGUGCCAGCAGCCGCGGUAAU